This 70-nucleotide transfer RNA is filed under the name Cuon alpinus (dhole). RNAcentral describes it as "tRNA-Thr". It matches the Rfam family "tRNA". Rfam says of the family: Transfer RNA (tRNA) molecules are approximately 80 nucleotides in length. RNAcentral also lists the same sequence under 1 other name. Lineage: Eukaryota; Metazoa; Chordata; Mammalia; Carnivora; Canidae. The record is from RNAcentral.
GUCUUUGUAGUAUAAUUAUUACUUUGGUCUUGUAAGCCAAAAAUGGAGAGUAAUCACCCUCCCUAAGACU